GACGAACGCUGGCGGCGUGCCUAAUACAUGCAAGUAGAACGCUGAAGGAGGAGCUUGCUCUUCUGGAUGAGUUGCGAACGGGUGAGUAACGCGUAGGUAACCUGCCUGGUAGCGGGGGAUAACUAUUGGAAACGAUAGCUAAUACCGCAUAACAUUGACUAUUGCAUGAUAGUCAAUUGAAAGGUGCAAAUGCACCACUACCAGAUGGACCUGCGUUGUAUUAGCUAGUUGGUGGGGUAACGGCUCACCAAGGCGACGAUACAUAGCCGACCUGAGAGGGUGAUCGGCCACACUGGGACUGAGACACGGCCCAGACUCCUACGGGAGGCAGCAGUAGGGAAUCUUCGGCAAUGGACGAAAGUCUGACCGAGCAACGCCGCGUGAGUGAAGAAGGUUUUCGGAUCGUAAAGCUCUGUUGUAAGAGAAGAACGAGUGUGAGAGNGGAAAGUUCACACNGNGACGG
Molecule: ribosomal RNA, 463 nt
Filed under: uncultured bacterium
Lineage: Bacteria
Description: bacterial SSU rRNA
Rfam family: Bacterial small subunit ribosomal RNA
Source: RNAcentral